Molecule: ribosomal RNA, 305 nt
Filed under: uncultured bacterium
Lineage: Bacteria
Description: bacterial SSU rRNA
Rfam family: Bacterial small subunit ribosomal RNA
Source: RNAcentral
CCGCCUACGGGAGGCAGCAGUGGGGAAUAUUGCGCAAUGGGCGAAAGCCUGACGCAGCGACGCCGCGUGAGGGAUGAAGGUCUUCGGAUCGUAAACCUCUGUCAGCAGGGAAGAACGGUCACUGUGCUAAUCAGCAGUGAAUUGACGGUACCUGACCAAGAAGCCCCGGCUAACUACGUGCCAGCAGCCGCGGCAAUACGUAGGGGGCAAGCGUUAUCCGGAUUUACUGGGCGUAAAGGGAGCGUAGACGGCAGGGCAAGUCUGGAGUGAAAGGCGGGGGCUCAACCCCCGGACGGCUCGGGAAA